AGCCAUUAUUCAGCCAAAGCCGACGGCACAGGCAUCGCCCAAUCCCCCCUAUUCCGCUCCUCAUCCCUCUUCUACACCAGCGCCGCCGCUUCCUACUCCACAGCAAUCUGCCGCCACCGUCGCAGCCGACAAAUCAACAACUGUUGAGACAAAGUCGAGCCACCACCCAAGUCCCUCUUCUCUCACUAUUCCUCCCUCUUCCAAAUCGCCGCCACCGCCACUGCACUUAGCAGUCGACACUGGUACAAUCUGCCAUCCAUUCUGCCGUUCACCAAAUUUGUAGAGGGUAAGUACUGAAACUCGAUUUGACUUUUAUUUUUUUGGGUUUGUAUAUGACGUAACUUAUUUUGAAGAAAUCUAGGCUAUAUUUUUACUGUAAAAUAUGUGAAAUAAAAGUUUUGAGAAUUGAAAUUGGAAUAAAUAGCUAUUUGAUUGAGGUGGAGUUGGAAUUAACUGGGAUGUGUUUGUUUUGAGGUGUGUGCCUUUAUGUUUAAAUAUGCAUUUUAGUAGGAAUUUUGUUUUGUUGUGUUUGUGUCUGUAUGUUUUAAUAUGUUUAAGAGUAAAAAGCAGUUUACCCCCUAAACAAAUGUCCGUUUUGCACUUUGCCCCCCAAACAAAAAAAAUUUGCACGUUCUUACCUAAACUCCAGUUUUUGUUGCACGGUACCUCAAAAUUGGAAUAUUCAGGCCAUUUUAACCGGAAUCUUACACACGUGCUAUUCACGUGAGUUUUAAAGGGGCAAAAUAGUCUAUUCUCUUACAUUCUUCAUAAAUAAAAAAAAAAAAAAACAAAAAUUACAGUAUUAUAAUACCUAUUGCAAUCAAAGCAGCAACAGCAAACAUCUCAGCAAUCGCCAGGGGCAAAUUGGAGAGAAUCGACAACACUUUUCUAGGCAAACCCUUCAGCCUCCACGAAUCGACCUUCGGCGGCGGAAUUUUCGGAUCUCCACCACUUCCGCCGCCGGAAACCGCCGGAGCUCCGCCAGGAUCAGGUGCUUCAAUUUUAGUUGCCGUGCUCUUGUUCUUCUUCUUGCCCUUGUUAAUUCUACUCUCAUUGUCAGAGGUUUUGAGCUGCGCAAAAACGGCGGUGUUGGUGGUGAAAGAGAGAGUGAGGGUUCUGCCAUUUCCCGGUUUCUGCAUGAAGUGUAGAGACAGUAAUAAUUGUUGGGGAAGGGUAAUUGGGAUCCAAUAUACCAAAUAAUUGGUAUAUUGCCCAUUCCUUGUAAAGAAGCGGGCGGCGGCGGUGGAGGGUAGGGUGGAGAGUGUGAAGAGGAGUAGAGUUGUGAAGAGGAGGAGCAAGCAGAUGGAGCUUGUGGAUUGGGCUUUGUUUAGGAGGUGGUGGUUCGAAUUGUUGCGCCUGAGGGUGAUGAAUUUGGGAAAAGAUUGAAAUUGUUGAAUUAUCUGUUGGUGGUUGUGGCGGCGGCGGUGGUGAUGGCGGCGGCGGUGGUGGUUUCUUGUUCUUGAUUUUGGUGGUGUUCGUCGGGGAAGAAAACUAAGAGGAAACCCCCAAUUGCAGAUUUUCCUAAUUUUGUUUUUAUUUUUUUUGUUAUUUUUUUUAAUUUAUGAAGAAGGUAAGUGAAUAGACUAUUUUGCCCCUUUAAAACUCACGUGAAAAGCACGUGAGUAAGAAUCCGGUCAAAAUGGCCUGAAUAUUCCAAUUUUGAGGCACCGUGCAACAAAAAGCGUAGUUUAGGUAAGAACGUGCAAAUUUUUUUUGUUUGGGGGGCAAAGUGCAAAACGGGCAUUUGUUUAGGGGGUAAACUGCUUUUUACUCUAUGUUUAAAUAUGCAUUUGUCCAUUUUAAAUAUGCAUUUUAGUGGGAAGUUCAUAUGGUAGAAUUCUUCCAGAAACAAAAAGACAAGAGUCACUCAGAAACAAAAUCCAAAUACACAAAAUAAUUAGUCAUUUUUUUAGCAAAAUUGCUAACUAGCAGUUAAGAAUAAUGAAAGGUUAUAAUUGUGCUUAUGCGGUAUUUUGAACUUAAUUAUUCCAAGAGAGACGAAUGGGGUUUUUUAACUCUCUCAUUACCAUCUAUGUUCUUCAGUUGCAUAUAUUUUCUAAAUAAAAAUGUCGAAAGAUAGGAGUUGAGUUUUGCUAGAUGAUCAUCGGAUGGAAGAAUUUCAAAAUGGUUUAGAAUUUCUAGAAUUUUCUUUCGAUAGAGCGGCCAUUGAUGAUAAAAUAAGGUGUCUAUGUAGAGCUUCAAGUGUCGAAAAGUCGGGGGCCAUGAAUUCGUUCAUGGGCAUCUAUGAAUGAGUCGGGGAGUGAUGGGAAGGUACAAAUGUAUUUUUAAUUAAUUUAUAUCAUUAUAUGAUUUAUGCAUUGCAUCAAAAUAUAGUAACUUAUUUGCUACUAUAUCGCGAAGCACGAAUAUCGAUUGCAAUCGACCAUUAUUGGGGUCGAACUAGUAUCAUUGGUAGGUCUCAUAAACAUAAAAAUGUAAGUGAUCUCGUAUAUGUGCGAUUGUAUAUAUUUUAAGAGUUAUUAUAUGGGUCUAAUUACUUUUAUAUAAUGCUACUACAGAUUCAAAAAUUUGGCAAAGUUCCUUCGGUUGCAGUUAAAUCUAGAAAAUGCUAUAUGAGCAUCGGUGCCUUGAAGGAAUUGGAGCCUUCCACUGAACUACGUGC
Molecule: long non-coding RNA, 2623 nt
Filed under: Erythranthe guttata (spotted monkey flower)
Lineage: Eukaryota; Viridiplantae; Streptophyta; Magnoliopsida; Lamiales; Phrymaceae
Description: long non-coding RNA (EGUT_LNC002569)
Source: RNAcentral